GUUGCCUCUUGGCCUUCUGGCUAAGAUCAAGUGUAGCAUCUAUUUUAUACAUAGUAGUGUAUGUAUGAAUCUCCCAAUUCCUCCCACCCCCU
Molecule: small nuclear RNA, 92 nt
Organism: Bos grunniens (domestic yak)
Lineage: Eukaryota; Metazoa; Chordata; Mammalia; Artiodactyla; Bovidae
Gene: U2
Rfam family: U2 spliceosomal RNA
About the family: U2 is a small nuclear RNA (snRNA) component of the spliceosome (involved in pre-mRNA splicing).
Source: Ensembl